UAGAAACAAAGCUUAACACUAAUA
Molecule: non-coding RNA, 24 nt
Filed under: Arabidopsis thaliana (thale cress)
Lineage: Eukaryota; Viridiplantae; Streptophyta; Magnoliopsida; Brassicales; Brassicaceae
Source: RNAcentral